UGGGGAAUAUUGCACAAUGGGCGCAAGCCUGAUGCAGUCAUGCCGCGUGUGUGAAGAAGGCCUUCGGGUUGUAAAGCACUUUCAGCGAGGAGGAAGGUGGUGAGCUUAAUACGCUCAUCAAUUGACGUUACUCGCAGAAGAAGCACCGGCUAACUCCGUGCCAGCAGCCGCGGUAAUACGGAGGGUGCAAGCGUUAAUCGGAAUUACUGGGCGUAAAGCGCACGCAGGCGGUUUGUUAAGUCAGAUGUGAAAUCCCCGGGCUCAACCUGGGAACUGCAUUUGAAACUGGCAAGCUAGAGUCUCGUAGAGGGGGUAGAAUUCCAGGUGUAGCGGUGAAAUGCGUAGAGAUCUGGAGGAAUACCGGUGGCGAAGGCGGCCCCCUGGANGAAGACUGACGCUCAGGUGCGAAAAGCGUGGGGAGCAAACAGAUUAGAUACCCUGGUAGUCCACGCUGUAAAACGAUGUCGAUUUUUGGAGGUUUGUGCCCCUGAGGCGUGGNUUCCGGACUAACGGUUAAAUGACGCCUAGGGGNGUNCGGCCAAGGUUAAAACUUAAAUGAAUUGC
Molecule: ribosomal RNA, 564 nt
Filed under: uncultured bacterium
Lineage: Bacteria
Description: partial 16S ribosomal RNA
Rfam family: Bacterial small subunit ribosomal RNA
Source: RNAcentral